GACGAACGCUGGCGGCGUGCUUAACACAUGCAAGUCGAACGGAAAGGCCCUGCUUUCGGGGUGCUCUCGUGGCGAACGGGUGAGUAACACGUGGGUGUUCUCCCCUGCACUUCGGGGUAAGCCUUGAAGACUGUGUGUAAUAUCGGAUAGAGGCGCUCCUUAGUGUGGUGGUUGGAAGGUAUUUUCGGUGUAGGAUGAGCUCGCGGCCUAUCAGCUUGUUGGUGGGGUAAUGGCCUACCAAGGCGGCGACGGGUAGCCGGCCUGGGAGGGUGGACGGCCACAAUGGGGCUGAGAUACGGCCCAGACCCCUACGGGAGGGAGCAGGGGGGAAUAUUGCACAAUGGGCGCAAGCCUGAUGCAGCGACGCCGCGGGGGGGAAGACCGCCCUUGGGUUGUAAACUCCUUUCGCCAGGGACGAAGGUGUUUGUGACGGUACCUAGAUAAGAAGCACCGGCUAACUACGUG
RNAcentral lists this ribosomal RNA (465 nucleotides) under uncultured bacterium. Its description in RNAcentral is "partial 16S ribosomal RNA". It matches the Rfam family "Bacterial small subunit ribosomal RNA", at positions 28 to 507 of the family's 1533-position model. The record is from RNAcentral.